This 74-nucleotide transfer RNA is filed under the name Prevotellaceae bacterium. RNAcentral's name for it is "tRNA-Pro". It matches the Rfam family "tRNA". From Rfam's summary of the family: Transfer RNA (tRNA) molecules are approximately 80 nucleotides in length. Their secondary structure includes four short double-helical elements and three loops (D, anti-codon, and T loops). The record is from RNAcentral. Lineage: Bacteria; Pseudomonadati; Bacteroidota; Bacteroidia; Bacteroidales; Prevotellaceae.
CGGGGUGUGGCGCAGUUGGCUAGCGCGCCACGUUCGGGACGUGGAGGUCGAAGGUUCGAGUCCUUUCACCCCGA